RNAcentral lists this small RNA (49 nucleotides) under Arabidopsis thaliana (thale cress). RNAcentral describes it as "ATSL214340". The record is from RNAcentral. Lineage: Eukaryota; Viridiplantae; Streptophyta; Magnoliopsida; Brassicales; Brassicaceae.
UAUACAUACAUUUUUGCAGCCAUGUUGAGCCAUAACUUCCAAAAGAGUA